GUCCGUGCUGAAAGUGUGGACAUCACCCAUAGUAUUGCGGUAUUUUUCAGUCGGUGAUUAUAGCCACUCAUCGUGUACAGGUUAGUCUCUCAGUACCUAACCACCAUUUUUCUGUCGUUUGAACUCUUGGCAAAGUAGUCGUGGUCAUAAUUUCGGGUGGUUGUGCAGUUCACAAGACGUCACCAUUCCUCGCGUACCGCGGCUCUUUUUGUGCACUCGUUGACGGGACCGUUUAGAACUACCUUUAUUUGGUCGGUCCAUCAUAACGGUUAUAGAUUAUACACUUAAUAUGAUAACGGUGAUCUACCGCGCGGUUCUCUACCCCUGCACCACAAGUCGCUCAACUGAGUCGUCACUCCGUCGCGACACAUGUCCGAAGAAAGUGAGAAUGCGACCUUGAACAAGGGAAGAGAGACACUUCUUGAUGCCGAGUACAUGAGAAAAUCGCCGGAUCCCCGCAUACCCCUUGAACCUCACUAAAAACUCCUGCCGCUCACAGCCAGCGCCCUACCCCGGACCGGGUGGGAACCCAGUCGGAGCUAUUGAGACGGCGGGACAGGGUUUACGCAGAGCAUAUUACAUCCAUCCCGCGGUCCCCUAGACGCCGGGCCGGCCGCCGCCAGCGACACGACCGCCGGUUCCCUCGGUCGACGGGCCAAGAGCCCCCGCAUUGAUGGCGCCGCGCUACACCUUCCCCCGGAGCGGUCGGGGGAACGCGGCUUACCACGCCGCCCCACGCCUAGGCUCCUUCCCGCACAAAACCUAGUGCAUAUUCAUCAAUCUACGCAAACUGAAUCAUGAGCUUUUUUGUUUGAAUAGCCUUUAAUUUAACGAGUUGUAGUUUUCUUUUUGGAUACUUUUGGGUAUAUUUUAGCAUGAAGGGAGUAUGGGUAAGCGAACUCUAAUGAUAGGGCGUAUUUGGUAACAAAUCGCCAAUACCCUCCUAGGGCCUAACAGAUUCCGCAGUCGGUUGAGAAACUCGGUCAAUCGACGCAAUAGGCAGUAUCACAAUAACUUACUGUACACCUAACAACAAUAACAACGGACUAAAUGUCAGAAAUCACAUUGUGAUGUGUGUGUUAUAGGUACUUACCUUCGUUAUUAUUAAAUUUAAUACCAUACAUAUUCAUUUUAAAUAUCUACAUAGUUUUAUUUCUUUAUUUGGCACAAAGAUGCUCUGUUUUAUUAUUUUAAAAACAACAUUUACAUUUCAUAAUAUUGCACAAAUCUAAAUUAUACGUAACUAAAAUUAAGACCAUCGGUGGGCCGCCAAAAAUGUCUAAGCCAUUCGAUUGACCAGACUACUGACCAGACUACUGUUAAAAUUACGGAGCAGCUUCGGUAUAAAGCUAUAUAAAGACACUGAGUAAAUAUUGAACUAAGAAAUAUGCAUUCACUACAGUAAAUAAAAUGAUUAUUAUUAGGCAACGCAGAACUGAAUAAGAUUUUUGUUUUGAUACAAAAAACGAAAUCUCAUUUAAAUGUUAGAACAUAGUAGGACAUAAUAAUAUGUAGUUUUAGGACCAUUACCAACAAAAUUUCAUUAUAUUGAACCAUUAGGCAAGACAUUGGUGUUUUUCCUUAAAAACCAAAAGUUGAUAUGAAUAUCCACAUACCUCAAAAAACUAAAUGGGGAAUUAAAAGUGAUGAUAAAAUGGACCACAAGCUUCAACUGUAUCAGCAUCAGAAGAAAAAAUGUUGACGUCAUUUUUACACAUUUGAUAGAUAUGGUGAUUAGUAAGAUUAGCAAUCAAAUUAUUUCAUUUAUCAAAUCAUAUUUGCCAAACAAAAUAAUAAAGAAUCUGUCUUCUUGGCAAACAUUCAUAGUCAUAAGCCCUCUGCGGUGUGUUUUAAUUUGUCAUGCAGGGAUCAAUGAUAUUGCACUAUACGCCUUCAAAAUACUUUCGCACAAUAUCUCAGUAUCUCUUUCGACCUACGAAUAAUAAAACUAUAGAAAAGUAAUUACGCUUCAAAAAUGGUAGUAUUGAUUUUAAGUUUAAUUUUCAUUUUUUCAUCUCAUGUACUAAUUUAUAAACUGCAUUUAUUUUCAUUGCAGUAAUAAAGUCAUUUAAUAAAAAAAACGAGAAAAUAUUUCAUGAUUUCAUUACUACUGCAUAACAUUAUCGUCAUAAAGGUGCACCGGGUGGCGCUUGCAAACCGUGUUCUUGGCGCGACUAAUCGCGUGCAAGCGUUUGCUUAUGAAAAAGUGUGAGUGUUCGUUGUAUUUGAUUUUAUUUGUAGGCGUAAAUGGAAUCAUAAUCUAAAGUGCCAUUGAAGGCGAGUUACUGUUCCAUAGUUUUAUUAUUCGUAGCUUUCGUCACUUCAUCCAAUCAUUUUAGAUCUCUGUGUACAGGGCAAAUUUUUUGAUGUUUCAUUUAUUCGCUUAAUUUUUUCCAUUCAAAUUGUUAUACUUAGCCUUAUUAACUGCAUUUAUAAUAAAAUAGUUUAAUAAAAUACUGUCAUUUUACUAUUCACGCGAAUAGCAAAUAGACAGCUCAAACAAAAAAAAUAUUUCAGAGUAGUCUCAACUCUUACUCUUAGAGUAGGUUCAAUCUGUCAGAUUGAUUUCUGAUCAGUACCUAUAUCAGUCACAAUAUGAGGCACUUGUGGGUAAAUCAAAGAUUCAUCUGUUUCAACAUUUCAAUAGAGUUCAAUUCAAUUUUCUAUACUCAAUUAACAGUAGAGUCAGUAGAUUUUAAAAUUAAGAUUGAGUAAUGUUAAUUUGAUAAAAUUAAAUAGUGAAAUUAAAAGUAAUGUAGUUGUAGACAUUUAUUCCCCAUCUUAUAAACAUUUGUGUUACACAAAUUAAUCUGGGAUGACCUGAGAAAAUAAACUUUUACUUGGUACUUUCACUUAUCUAAUUGUGUUAUGUAAAAAAUCAAACACCCUGAGUUUACUUGUCUCUAACUUUGAUAAGAUCAUUUAAGUCUAAUGCUACACAUAUUUCCUUGGAGUCUGUGCGUGGAUUGCGAUCCAGUAUUUCGGUUAUGGGGUAAUAAUUGUCACGGUUGUCAACAUUCCACCCAGAAUAC
This is a long non-coding RNA of Bombyx mori (domestic silkworm), 3032 nucleotides long. RefSeq lists it as uncharacterized. NCBI's taxonomy places the organism in Eukaryota, Metazoa, Arthropoda, Insecta, Lepidoptera, Bombycidae. The transcript is spliced from 2 exons. The record is from RefSeq and is a predicted model, not a curated record.